This 253-nucleotide ribosomal RNA is filed under the name uncultured bacterium. Its description in RNAcentral is "partial 16S ribosomal RNA". It matches the Rfam family "Bacterial small subunit ribosomal RNA", at positions 524 to 776 of the family's 1533-position model. The record is from RNAcentral.
UACAGAGGUCUCAAGCGUUGUUCGGAUUCAUUGGGCGUAAAGGGUGCGUAGGCGGCGCGGUAAGUCGGAUGUGAAAUCUCCAGGCUUAACCUGGGAACUGCGUCGGAUACUGGAUGGCUUGAAUUCGGGAGAGGGAUGCAGAAUUCCAGGUGUAGCGGUGAAAUGCGUAGAUAUCUGGAGGAACACCGGUGGCGAAGGCGGCAUCCUGGACCGGCAUUGACGCUGAGGCGCGAAAGCCAGGGGAGCAAACGGG